Molecule: ribosomal RNA, 254 nt
Filed under: uncultured bacterium
Lineage: Bacteria
Description: partial 16S ribosomal RNA
Rfam family: Bacterial small subunit ribosomal RNA
Source: RNAcentral
UACAGAGGGGGCAAGCGUUGUUCGGAAUUACUGGGCGUAAAGGGCUCGUAGGCGGCCAACUAAGUCAGACGUGAAAUCCCUCGGCUUAACCGGGGAACUGCGUCUGAUACUGGAUGGCUUGAGUGUGGGAGAGGGAUGCGGAAUUCCAGGUGUAGCGGUGAAAUGCGUAGAUAUCUGGAGGAACACCGGUGGCGAAGGCGGCAUCCUGGACCAUUACUGACGCUGAGUGAGCGAAAGCCAGGGGAGCAAACGGG